GAUAUGGCUCAGGAUGAACGCUAGCUACAGGCUUAACACAUGCAAGUCGAGGGGCAGCAUGAACUUAGCUUGCUAAGUUUGAUGGCGACCGGCGCACGGGUGAGUAACACGUAUCCAACCUUCCGUUUACUCAGGGAUAGCCUUUCGAAAGAAAGAUUAAUACCUGAUAGUAUGGUGAGAUUGCAUGAUAACACCAUUAAAGAUUUAUUGGUAAACGAUGGGGAUGCGUUCCAUUAGGUAG
RNAcentral lists this ribosomal RNA (241 nucleotides) under uncultured bacterium. Its description in RNAcentral is "partial 16S ribosomal RNA". It matches the Rfam family "Bacterial small subunit ribosomal RNA", at positions 15 to 248 of the family's 1533-position model. The record is from RNAcentral.